This is a long non-coding RNA of Sitophilus oryzae (rice weevil), 790 nucleotides long. RefSeq lists it as uncharacterized. The record is from RefSeq and is a predicted model, not a curated record. NCBI's taxonomy places the organism in Eukaryota, Metazoa, Arthropoda, Insecta, Coleoptera, Curculionidae. The transcript is spliced from 3 exons.
UGUUGUAGUGCCCAUGAUUUUGGCAAAAUGAUGUAUAAAAUUCAGUUAAACAACCAAAGUAAAUACGCCAAAAUUGAUGAAACAUCAGAUAAUGUGACAUACUCUGAAAUAGUCGAGUUAGGAGAUAUUUUAUAAGGAUAGCUUACGAAACCCCAAGUGGCUACCUGGCAUGGAGGCUCCGAACCGUUGCAAGAUCCAAUAUGGUGCCAAGCUCCAAACGAAAGUUACCACCACAAGUUACAUAUAAUAGUGAUGACUCAUCAGAUGAACCAACCUUAAAAAAAGCCAGAACAUUGACAGAACAAAAAGUAGCAGAUAUAGAAUUUUUUAAAAAUGCUUGCUGCAAGACACAGAAAAAGGAAAUCAUGGAAAAACUGCAAAACUUUUUUAACUGAAGAAAAAUGAAUGACUUUUCAUUUGUCGAUUAUCCCAGAUUUUUGGACACGCCAGGACUUAUUGAACAAGAUGUCAGCUUGCUAUAUCCUGCUAAUGCCAAUAACUUUGUGGCGAAGUUUGAAAAUAAGGCUGCAAAUAUCAUACAAAUAUACGAGGCGACGAUAUACCUAGGCGAUUUCCUACCUCAAAUAAGGUAUAUAUUAUAUUUUUUAUUUUGCGUUUACCUAUAAAUAUUUCCCUAGAGUAAGGAAUAUUUUUUGUUUCGUUGUCACCUAACGUAACUAUACCUGCCUAAAAUAAGGUAUAUAUAUAUAUAUAUUUUUUUUUAUUUUCCUAGAGUAGGGAAUAUUUUUUGUUUCGUUGUUACCUAUAUCUACCUCAAAUAAGGUAUAUU